Molecule: long non-coding RNA, 429 nt
Filed under: Numida meleagris (helmeted guineafowl)
Lineage: Eukaryota; Metazoa; Chordata; Aves; Galliformes; Numididae
Description: lncRNA (ENSNMEG00000008580.1)
Source: RNAcentral
AUUAAGUAGUUGUUAUAGAAAUUAGAAAUAUUAAUAACUUCUAACAUCUAUGUUUUUUCAGGAUCUCCACAACUUCUGUUCUGUUUCUCUGAUAUCCACUAGCAAUAACAUUGCUUCUGCUGCGUAAAGCGAGAGGAAGUAUCUGCCCAGAUGUUCUCCCCAGCUGCAGCUUUGCUGGCUGAGAUGGGAAAAAUGGAAACCUGCAGGCCAAGACAAUAACCCGUGGGACACCUGCAGUCACUUUGGACCCAUUCACAUCUCAGUGAGCAGUUUGCCAAGGAGUGUGUGUGGGGCAUUCCUUGGAGAAGCUAUUGCAUUGCUCAAGCAAUAGAAGUGCAAUUCCAAUGUUAGUAGAGGGAUGCAGCAGACAUCGCUAUGGAACAGAUCAAGGACUGGGCAAACAUUUGUUUACAUGACAGAAUAAAAACC